GGACUCUUAGCUCAGUUGGUAGAGCGUGCCUUUGACGUAGGCAAGGUCGCAAGUUCGAGCCUUGCAGGGUCCACAA
This 76-nucleotide transfer RNA is filed under the name Candidatus Woesebacteria bacterium RIFOXYA1_FULL_31_71. Its description in RNAcentral is "tRNA-Val". It matches the Rfam family "tRNA". Rfam says of the family: Transfer RNA (tRNA) molecules are approximately 80 nucleotides in length. Their secondary structure includes four short double-helical elements and three loops (D, anti-codon, and T loops). The record is from RNAcentral. RNAcentral also lists the same sequence under 4 other names. Lineage: Bacteria; Candidatus Woeseibacteriota.